This 1735-nucleotide ribosomal RNA is filed under the name Salmonella enterica. RNAcentral's name for it is "partial 23S ribosomal RNA". It matches the Rfam family "Bacterial large subunit ribosomal RNA", at positions 1213 to 2925 of the family's 2925-position model. The record is from RNAcentral. RNAcentral also lists the same sequence under 2 other names. Lineage: Bacteria; Pseudomonadati; Pseudomonadota; Gammaproteobacteria; Enterobacterales; Enterobacteriaceae.
CUGAUGCGUUGUUGGGUAGGGGAGCGUUCUGUAAGCCUGCGAAGGUGGCCUGUGAGGGUUGCUGGAGGUAUCAGAAGUGCGAAUGCUGACAUAAGUAACGAUAAAGCGGGUGAAAAGCCCGCUCGCCGGAAGACCAAGGGUUCCUGUCCAACGUUAAUCGGGGCAGGGUGAGUCGACCCCUAAGGCGAGGCCGAAAGGCGUAGUCGAUGGGAAACGGGUUAAUAUUCCCGUACUUGGUGUUACUGCGAAGGGGGGACGGAGAAGGCUAUGUUGGCCGGGCGACGGUUGUCCCGGUUUAAGCGUGUAGGUGUGUGUUCCAGGUAAAUCCGGUUCACUUUAACACUGAGGCGUGAUGACGAGGCACUACGGUGCUGAAGCAACAAAUGCCCUGCUUCCAGGAAAAGCCUCUAAGCAUCAGGUAACAUCAAAUCGUACCCCAAACCGACACAGGUGGUCAGGUAGAGAAUACCAAGGCGCUUGAGAGAACUCGGGUGAAGGAACUAGGCAAAAUGGUGCCGUAACUUCGGGAGAAGGCACGCUGACACGUAGGUGAAGUGAUUUACUCAUGGAGCUGAAGUCAGUCGAAGAUACCAGCUGGCUGCAACUGUUUAUUAAAAACACAGCACUGUGCAAACACGAAAGUGGACGUAUACGGUGUGACGCCUGCCCGGUGCCGGAAGGUUAAUUGAUGGGGUCAGCGCAAGCGAAGCUCCUGAUCGAAGCCCCGGUAAACGGCGGCCGUAACUAUAACGGUCCUAAGGUAGCGAAAUUCCUUGUCGGGUAAGUUCCGACCUGCACGAAUGGCGUAAUGAUGGCCAGGCUGUCUCCACCCGAGACUCAGUGAAAUUGAACUCGCUGUGAAGAUGCAGUGUACCCGCGGCAAGACGGAAAGACCCCGUGAACCUUUACUAUAGCUUGACACUGAACAUUGAGCCUUGAUGUGUAGGAUAGGUGGGAGGCUUUGAAGUGUGGACGCCAGUCUGCAUGGAGCCGACCUUGAAAUACCACCCUUUAAUGUUUGAUGUUCUAACGUGGACCCGUGAUCCGGGUUGCGGACAGUGUCUGGUGGGUAGUUUGACUGGGGCGGUCUCCUCCUAAAGAGUAACGGAGGAGCACGAAGGUUGGCUAAUCCUGGUCGGACAUCAGGAGGUUAGUGCAAUGGCAUAAGCCAGCUUGACUGCGAGCGUGACGGCGCGAGCAGGUGCGAAAGCAGGUCAUAGUGAUCCGGUGGUUCUGAAUGGAAGGGCCAUCGCUCAACGGAUAAAAGGUACUCCGGGGAUAACAGGCUGAUACCGCCCAAGAGUUCAUAUCGACGGCGGUGUUUGGCACCUCGAUGUCGGCUCAUCACAUCCUGGGGCUGAAGUAGGUCCCAAGGGUAUGGCUGUUCGCCAUUUAAAGUGGUACGCGAGCUGGGUUUAGAACGUCGUGAGACAGUUCGGUCCCUAUCUGCCGUGGGCGCUGGAGAACUGAGGGGGGCUGCUCCUAGUACGAGAGGACCGGAGUGGACGCAUCACUGGUGUUCGGGUUGUCAUGCCAAUGGCACUGCCCGGUAGCUAAAUGCGGAAGAGAUAAGUGCUGAAAGCAUCUAAGCACGAAACUUGCCCCGAGAUGAGUUCUCCCUGAGACUUUAGGUCUCCUGAAGGAACGUUGAAGACGACGACGUUGAUAGGCCGGGUGUGUAAGCGCAGCGAUGCGUUGAGCUAACCGGUACUAAUGAACCGUGAGGCUUAACCUU